AUGGCCGGUCGUGGGAAGGCAAUCGGCGCCGGCGCGGCCAAGAAGGCGACGUCAAGGAGCUCCAAGGCUGGGCUGCAGUUCCCCGUGGGAAGGAUCGCCAGGUUCCUCAAGGCCGGCAAGUACGCCGAGCGCGUCGGAGCCGGCGCCCCCGUCUACCUCGCCGCCGUCCUUGAGUACCUCGCCGCUGAGGUCCUGGAGCUGGCCGGAAACGCCGCCAGGGACAACAAGAAGACACGUAUCGUGCCCCGCCACAUCCAGCUCGCCGUGCGCAAUGACGAGGAGCUGACCAAGUUGCUCGGCGGCGCCACCAUCGCCAGCGGCGGUGUGAUGCCCAACAUCCACCAGCACCUCCUCCCCAAGAAGGCCUCUUCCUCCAAGGCGUCCACCGUCGAUGACGACGACAACUGA
RNAcentral lists this ribosomal RNA (408 nucleotides) under Triticum aestivum (bread wheat). RNAcentral describes it as "partial small subunit ribosomal RNA". The record is from RNAcentral. Lineage: Eukaryota; Viridiplantae; Streptophyta; Magnoliopsida; Poales; Poaceae.